This 372-nucleotide ribosomal RNA is filed under the name uncultured organism. RNAcentral describes it as "partial 16S ribosomal RNA". It matches the Rfam family "Bacterial small subunit ribosomal RNA", at positions 527 to 896 of the family's 1533-position model. The record is from RNAcentral.
GUAGGUGGCGAGCGUUGUCCGGAAUUAUUGGGCGUAAAGCGCGCGCAGGCGGUCCUUUAAGUCUGAUGUGAAAGCCCACGGCUCAACCGUGGAGGGUCAUUGGAAACUGGGGGACUUGAGUACAGAAGAGGAAAGCGGAAUUCCAAGUGUAGCGGUGAAAUGCGUAGAGAUUUGGAGGAACACCAGUGGCGAAGGCGGCUUUCUGGUCUGUAACUGACGCUGAGGCGCGAAAGCGUGGGGAGCAAACAGGGAUUAGAUACCCUGGUAGUCCACGCCGUAAACGAUGAGUGCUAAGUGUUAGGGGGUUUCCCGCCCCUUAGUGCUGCAGCUAACGCAUUAAGCACUCCGCCUGGGGAUACGGCCGCAAGGCUG